GACGAACGCUGGCGGCGUGCUUGACACAUGCAAGUCGAACGGAAAGGCCUGCUUUCCCUUGUGGAUUGCGGGUACUCGAGUGGCGAACGGGUGAGUAACACGUGAGUGAUCUGCCCCCAACUUGGGUAUAAGCCUGGGAAACUGGGUCUAAUUCCCGAUAGGACUGCAGGGUGGUGCCCGUGGUGGAAAACGAUUUUCUAGUGGUUGGGGAUGAGCUCGCGGCCUAUCAGCUUGUUGGUGGGGUAAUGGCCUACCAAGGCGGCGACGGGUAGCCGGCCUGGGAGGGUGGACGGCCACAUUGGGACUGAGAUACGGCCCAGACUCCUACGGGAGGCAGCAGUGGGGAAUAUGGCACAAUGGGCGGAAGCCUGAUGCAGCGACGCCGCGUGGGGGAUGACGGCCUUCGGGUUGUAAACUCCUUUCGACCGCGAGGAAGCCACCUGGUUGGAAGGGUGGUGACGGUAGUGGUAGAAGAAGCACCGGCUAACUACGUG
RNAcentral lists this ribosomal RNA (494 nucleotides) under uncultured bacterium. Its description in RNAcentral is "partial 16S ribosomal RNA". It matches the Rfam family "Bacterial small subunit ribosomal RNA", at positions 28 to 507 of the family's 1533-position model. The record is from RNAcentral.